GCCAACAGAGACCCAACCGCAACAAAUCGACAUAAACUUUUCAGUCAAAAGAAAGCUCAAACUUCUGUGUGUUUUACCAACGAAAUCAGAAAGACAAAAGUUUUUUUUUUUCCUUUUUUCGAAAAACCGCGCUCGAAAACUUGUUCAACUUUUCCACCCACAGAAGCAGCAGAAAAAACAGAAACAGCAGGAGCCACAUUAACGACGGAAACCAAGUGAAAUGACAACAGCAAUCGGCGCUCAUAAAGUUGAGAAAGUUAUGUUGUUAUAUUAUACUGAUAUCGGUUGUUGGUUAAGAGGCUUCUGCUCGACCUUCCAGCAUCUCCUCUUCAUUCAUAGGAACAAGUUUUAUGUUUCGUUUGGAGAAUUGAUGUCGAAGCGGCGGCUCCCUCCCGACUCCCAGUGACUGCGGUUUUUAAAGUCAAAGCUCAGCCGGAGAGAAAAUUCCCUUCAAGUUGUCACAAUGGAAAUGGGAUAAGGAAACGGCAGAAGCGUAGGAUGGGCGAAAAGCAGCCGGGAAAGGCGGCUUGGCACAGCACGGAGCGAAAGGAAAUGGAAAACGAAUGAAAUAUUCAAUUUAUCAUAUUAGAAAGGCAAUCUUUUAGCUGGAAAACUUAUAAGGGGUUUUAAAUAAACUCACUCGGAAAUUGUUGGUGUUAUUUAUAGAUAUGCAACACAGAGAUUAAACAGA
Long non-coding RNA from Drosophila pseudoobscura, 691 nucleotides. RefSeq lists it as uncharacterized. The transcript is spliced from 2 exons. NCBI's taxonomy places the organism in Eukaryota, Metazoa, Arthropoda, Insecta, Diptera, Drosophilidae. The record is from RefSeq and is a predicted model, not a curated record.